This 678-nucleotide ribosomal RNA is filed under the name Curtobacterium sp. Its description in RNAcentral is "bacterial SSU rRNA". It matches the Rfam family "Bacterial small subunit ribosomal RNA", at positions 605 to 1284 of the family's 1533-position model. The record is from RNAcentral. Lineage: Bacteria; Bacillati; Actinomycetota; Actinomycetes; Micrococcales; Microbacteriaceae.
AGGAUCCGUUCAGGUGGGCUCUGGGUUUAGGACGACUUCAUAGCGAGGUGGGAGAUAGGAAUUCCUGGUGUAGCGGUGGAAUGCGCAGAUAUCAGGAGGAACACCGAUGGCGAAGGCAGAUCUCUGGGCCGUAACUGACGCUGAGGAGCGAAAGCGUGGGGAGCGAACAGGAUUAGAUACCCUGGUAGUCCACGCCGUAAACGUUGGGCGCUAGAUGUAGGGACCUUUCCACGGUUUCUGUGUCGUAGCUAACGCAUUAAGCGCCCCGCCUGGGGAGUACGGCCGCAAGGCUAAAACUCAAAGGAAUUGACGGGGGCCCGCACAAGCGGCGGAGCAUGCGGAUUAAUUCGAUGCAACGCGAAGAACCUUACCAAGGCUUGACAUACACCGGAAACGGCCAGAGAUGGUCGCCCCCUUGUGGUCGGUGUACAGGUGGUGCAUGGUUGUCGUCAGCUCGUGUCGUGAGAUGUUGGGUUAAGUCCCGCAACGAGCGCAACCCUCGUUCUAUGUUGCCAGCGCGUUAUGGCGGGGACUCAUAGGAGACUGCCGGGGUCAACUCGGAGGAAGGUGGGGAUGACGUCAAAUCAUCAUGCCCCUUAUGUCUUGGGCUUCACGCAUGCUACAAUGGCCGGUACAAAGGGCUGCGAUACCGUAAGGUGGAGCGAAUCCCAAAAGCCG